Molecule: ribosomal RNA, 331 nt
Filed under: uncultured eukaryote
Lineage: Eukaryota
Description: partial 18S ribosomal RNA
Rfam family: Eukaryotic small subunit ribosomal RNA
Source: RNAcentral
CCCUUAGAUGUCCGGGGCUGCACGCGCGCUACACUGAAGGAAUCAGCGUGCUAGAAAACCUUGUUUGACAUGGCUAGGUAACCCGUUGAAAAUCUUUCGUGAUUGGGAUCGGGACUUGCAAAUGUGUCCCUUGAACGAGGAAUUCCCAGUAAGUGCGGGUCAUAAGCUCGCGCUGAUUACGUCCCCGCCCUUUGUACACACCGCCCGUCGCUGCCCGGAACUGAGCCGUUUCGAGAAGACUGGGGACUGCGAACUUUGGGCUGGAAAACAGCUUUUUGUUUGUGGAAACCACUUUAAUCGCAGCGGCUUGAACCGGGCAAAAGUCGUAACA